UGGGGACUGGCGCAAUUGGUAGCGCAGCGCACUCUGAAUGCGAAGGUUUCUUGGUUCGAGCCCAAGGUCCCCAGCCA
This 77-nucleotide transfer RNA is filed under the name Verrucomicrobiaceae bacterium. RNAcentral's name for it is "tRNA-Gln". It matches the Rfam family "tRNA". Rfam says of the family: Transfer RNA (tRNA) molecules are approximately 80 nucleotides in length. Their secondary structure includes four short double-helical elements and three loops (D, anti-codon, and T loops). Lineage: Bacteria; Pseudomonadati; Verrucomicrobiota; Verrucomicrobiia; Verrucomicrobiales; Verrucomicrobiaceae. The record is from RNAcentral.